CGCACAUUGCGCCUGCUAGCAUUCUGGCAGGCAUGCCUGUUCGAGCGUCAUUUCAACCCUCAAGCUUUGCUUGGUGUUGAGGUUCUAUAAUUAUAGGCCUCUAAAUCUAUUGGCAGAACGUCAUAAACUCUCAAUUGUAGUAAAUUUUAUUUCUAUUGAAGAAUUUUGAUAUUUCUAGCCGUAAAACACAGCGUGCUCUUUUGAGCCCUAUUUUUACAAGGUUGACCUCGGAUCAGGUAGGAAUACCCGCUGAACUUAA
RNAcentral lists this unclassified non-coding RNA (259 nucleotides) under fungal sp. RNAcentral describes it as "partial contains 5.8S ribosomal RNA, internal transcribed spacer 2, and large subunit ribosomal RNA". The record is from RNAcentral. Lineage: Eukaryota; Fungi.